This 510-nucleotide small RNA is filed under the name Pan troglodytes (chimpanzee). RNAcentral describes it as "retained intron". Lineage: Eukaryota; Metazoa; Chordata; Mammalia; Primates; Hominidae. The record is from RNAcentral.
CAGGCACUCUUGCUUCCCAGGAGCCGUCUACAUCUGCACGGAAGACGCCUUCCCUCACAAGCGCCUGCAGCAGCUCAUGGCCCAGCAGCCGCGGCUGCGCACUGACGUUCCAGGAGAGCUGCUUCAGAAGCUCCGAUUUGGCAGCCAGAUCUUCAUCGAGCACGUGGCCGAUGUGGACACCUUGUUGGAGUGUGUGAAUAAGAAGGUCCCCGUACUGCUGUCUCGGGGCAUGGCUCGCCUGGUGGUCAUCGACUCGGUGGCAGCCCCAUUCCGCUGUGAAUUUGACAGCCAGGCCUCCGCCCCCAGGGCCAGGCAUCUGCAGUCCCUGGGGGCCGCGCUGCGUGAGCUGAGCAGUGCCUUCCAGAGCCCUGUGCUGUGCAUCAACCAGGUGACAGAGGCCAUGGAGGAGCAGGGCGCAGCACACGGGCCGCUGGGGUUCUGGGACGAGCGUGUUUCCCCAGCCCUUGGCAUAACCUGGGCUAACCAGCUCCUGGUGAGACUGUUGGCUGA